This 423-nucleotide ribosomal RNA is filed under the name uncultured bacterium. RNAcentral's name for it is "bacterial SSU rRNA". It matches the Rfam family "Bacterial small subunit ribosomal RNA", at positions 207 to 622 of the family's 1533-position model. The record is from RNAcentral.
AAGACCUUGCACUUUUGGAGCGGCCGAUGUCUGAUUAGCUAGUUGGUGGGGUAAUGGCCUACCAAAGCUUCGAUCAGUAGCUGGUCUGAGAGGACGGCCAGCCACACUGGGACUGAGACACGGCCCAGACUCCUACGGGAGGCAGCAGUGGGGAAUUUUGGACAAUGGGCGCAAGCCUGAUCCAGCCAUGCCGCGUGAGUGAAGAAGGCCUUCGGGUUGUAAAGCUCUUUCAGCCGGGAAGAAAAGGUUGCGACUAAUAAUCGCAAUCCAUGACGGUACCGAAAGAAGAAGCACCGGCUAACUACGUGCCAGCAGCCGCGGUAAUACGUAGGGUGCGAGCGUUAAUCGGAAUUACUGGGCGUAAAGGGUGCGCAGGCGGUUUUGUAAGUCAGAUGUGAAMUCCCCGGGCUUAACCUGGGAACU